UCAUUUUUCCUUCUGCACGAUUUUAAAGUUUAGAAAGCCAAAGUCAUGGCUUUUACAUUCGGCCAAGCUUAGAUUUUCAAUUAGGGUAUGGUUUUUAUUCCGUUUUUAAUAAUUUUUACGUUUUUGAGAUCGUUGUUUUGUAUUCUAGCUAGCCCGUACCUCAAUUUCUGAAAAUUUUGAUGAUUUUGAAAUAUGCCAUUGUUGAAUACUAGUAUAUUUUGAAGUAUUAUGCUAGAUUUUUGAUGGGUAUUGAAAUAUAUACAAGUUUUAUAAAGUAAAUUUUGACAAAAUGAGCUUUAGGGAUUUAAAAAAAAUAGAAAUAUUAUGUUAGAAAUGUGAAAUAAAUGAAAAUAUGGGCUGAUUAGAAGAUAUAUAUUAUUCGGCUAAGAAUACGUAUAAAGAAAUUUCGUAUAUUUUGUGUAUUUGUGAAUUAGGAACUAAAGUGUCAAAAUGUGAAAAAUAUGAAGGCUAUUUUGUAAAAAUGCCAAAAUAUAUUUAUAUGGAUUGAAUUGAUUGAUUUGAUGAAUAAAUGAGUUAAAUUUGAAUUUAUAUAGAUCAAGAUAAACAAAUACUGGAACUUGAUCGGGGAAACAAAAGUUAGACGGGUAGACGAAAGUAUUCGAGCAAAUACGAGGUAAGUUCGUGUAGCUAGAAUUGAAUUAUUAAAUAUUUGUAAUUGUCCAAAAAUGAAUGUAUGUAAGUUGAAUGAAUGAUAUACUUGAAUUUUAAAUUACCGGUAUACUAUUAUAUUACUGUUUACAUGAAUGCAAAUGAAAUGUUACAAAUACUAUAUACGUUAUAUAGAUUUGGCAUGAUAGGCAUUGAAUAUGAAAUUUUGAGUAUUUAAAUGUAUGUACUUAAUAAUAUUAGAUAUAUAUAUACAUAUGAAUUGAGAAAUUGAGUUAUUGAUUUUUCAUUGCUUAAUUGAUGAAAUUGGAUAAUACUGAGCCCGUUUGAACUUUAGAAAAUUGUCGGAUACGAGUGAUUUGUCACUAGGAUUAUCGUUUGGUCGAGCUCCUGCAUUUGUUGCGGACUCACCACAGCUCGUAUGAGCUUACCGUUUCAGCUCUACGGAGCUUACCGUUUCAGCUCAAUAGAGCUUACCGUUUAUCAGCUCGGAAUGAGCUUAUCGAUCAUGGCUCGAAAGAGCGAAAAUGACAAUGAAUUGACGAAUUUCUGAUAAAUACACUUAUAGUGUAUCACCCGUGUAUCCCUCGAUGUUCUAAUAGGUUCAACAGGCAUAAUUACUAUUACUGAUUAUAUGAAUAAGCUAUGUAAUUACAUGGAUGAAUUACCGUUGAUAUGUAUAAGUUACGGAUAAAUUUCUGUUAUUACCGAUGAAUUGCAGGUUAUACGAAUAGGAAAGAAUUGAUACAAAUGUUAUAUGAUUUACAUGAUUUAAAAGUUACAUGAAAUACAUGAUUUACAUGGAUUGUUGUUUUAUGAAUAUAUGAAUUAUAGGGACGACAUGAUAUAUUUGGCUAUAUGACUCACUCUUGGAUGGUGAUGUGAAUAAACUUUGUGGACAAAUGAAUUGAUUUUAAUUGUUUUAAUGCUUAGAUAUUAAAUUGGAAAAUUUUAAUUCUAUAUUAUACGGCUUACUAAGCUUAGUGCUUACUUAAUUCAUUUUCUUAUGUUCUAUAUAUUCGAAAGCUAGCUCGAUUUUGGACAAGGUCGGAGAUUGGCUAUCACACUAUCAAAAUGAUUUUUGGUACUUUUGGACCUCAUGCAAUUAAUAUAAAUAUGGCAUGUAUAGUUAGUUUUUGGUAUGAAUUUUUUGGGUUUGAUCAAGCUAUGUGAUAUGGCUUGAGUUGGAAAUGUUUAGUUUAGAAUGGAAACAUUAUGUGUUAUGUUCAUUUUGGGUGCACUUUGAUAAAGGGUAUUUUGGUAUAAUUGAGUAUAUAAAUGCAUUGGUUGAAAUUUGAAAUUUGCAGGGAAGGUUCAAUAGUUAUAAAGGGGUUAUAUUCAAAUUAAAAAAAAAAAGAAAAUGAAAAUGAA
Molecule: long non-coding RNA, 1998 nt
Filed under: Gossypium barbadense (sea-island cotton)
Lineage: Eukaryota; Viridiplantae; Streptophyta; Magnoliopsida; Malvales; Malvaceae
Description: long non-coding RNA (GBAR_LNC020740)
Source: RNAcentral